Molecule: non-coding RNA, 2939 nt
Organism: Musa acuminata subsp. malaccensis (wild Malaysian banana)
Lineage: Eukaryota; Viridiplantae; Streptophyta; Magnoliopsida; Zingiberales; Musaceae
Source: RefSeq, a predicted model, not a curated record
AGAAGCGAUGAAUGAAGGCCACAUGAGUCCAUCGACCAUUGCUAUAUGGCACGCGAAUCGACGCUCCGACCGCCGCUGCCGGGCCGCAGUCCAAGACCUUUGUUCUCUGUUUUCUCUGCGCCGCACACCGCUUUCUCUGCGGCGUCCCUCCCUUUUUUUUAGUUCGAUCGUGACAAAUUGGUCGUCCAUGCGGAUGGAUCUAUAUAGUAUUCAGCGGCAAAGAAACGAACACCCACCGAGCGCAAGAAGCGGCGUCACGAUCAGCCCAAGUAAGAACAAGAGUACCCAGAAAAGAUCGCUCGUCGCCGCCUUUGGCACCCCUUUCUCUUUCAAAUCCUCACCUCUUCUCCUUCUUCUUUUGUUGUUUUCUGGGCGUCUUGCUGGCUUACGAUUUGUUUUGGUAGUGGUGUGUGUGAAAGACGGGUUUGCCGUGGCAUGUGUAUCGUCUUGUGCCCCAGGGAGGAAGGAAAGAGAAAAAGAAAGGAAGGGGUUUAGGAGCUGGAUGCGCUAUGUUGAGAUGUGUGAUCAGAGGUGAGAAAAUGGAGAACGAACAGAGUGAGAGGAGGAGCGGUUGCGUUCUAGGAUUUGGUCGGAAUAGAUGCGGAAUUGAAUGUCUGUGGACAUCUCUUGAGCUGCUUGAUUGUUUGAUCGGUGAAACCCUGAAGUUUGAUCGGGGACUAGCAGAAGAUUUGUGGGUAAAGUAAAUUGUUGUGUGAGGAAGGGAAAGGAGUGUGAUAUGUAGGAGGAGGGGGAGACGAGAGUUUCUCAAGAGAGUAUGUGUUCUUACCAUUCUCGGUAUGAACUCUCUGAGCUUCUAAAAGAUAACUGUAGAUGCAUUGAAGAUUCAUCUUGUGAGUUGGCAUAGCGUUGGAUUUCACACACAGCAAUGCCUCGAGAAAUAUUGUACCUGCAUACGGUAAGGAAUUUAAUGGAAGCAGCUUUUGAGCAAGUGGAAUUGUGGAUUGUAAAGUUUGGGAAAUUGGCAAUUGAGUGUUCUUCGAAUCUAGGUUUUCUUGGUCUUGUUGAGUCUGAAGAUUACAACAUCCUAGGAUGUAACAGUAAGCAAUUUUAGGACUACAUUAAUAUUUUUUUUAUUAUUUAGGAUGUCGAAAGGUCUAAUAAAUAAUGUAGAGGCAAUACUGAAAGAAAGGGUUUUCUACUUGAGGAGGAUCCUGCCUUCUAUUUUUUUUCACCUUGGACAUGUGGAACCGUCGUUGUUGGUGGCGACUGCUCAUUCUCAUCAAGAUCAAGUAGCCCAUUGAUUUAGAGAUGAAGAGGGGAAUCAACAAAAACAUCCGAUAAGAUCUCUUUAAUUUUGAUUUAAUAAAGAGUGUAGUUUUUUCUUCUUCUUCGGUUUGGUUUGGUCCGAACCGGUUAACCGAAUCUAAGAAGAGUACUCUUCUAAAUCAGAACCAUUUAUAGACUUCAAGAUCAAACUAUUGAUGAACCAGUUUUUGGCUGAAUUGGAUCUGGACCGAUUCAAUUUUGGUUUAGUUUUGGUUCGGUUGGUUUUCCGAUUCGAUCUGAACACCCCUACCAUGAAUAAGCUUUCUAAUAUUCACUAGCUCUUCAUAAGAGAAGAAUUACUUUAUAACGUUUGUUUGCAAAUAUCAAUCUUUGAAUUCUAGCCUAUGUUGUUUAAGUGUAAGUCUUCCACCGUCGAAGUUCAGAGGCAUCCAAAUUCAGAGGCAACAAUAAAGCAAAAAAAAAAAAGAAGACUAUUUUGCACCAGUCGCACUCAAUGUUUGUAGGAGGCCGACACGGGCAAUUAAUUGCCUCUUGCUACUGAUCACCAUGAAACUUAAGGAAAUCUUAAAAGAAAAUUAAUAUCCUAACCAUGAGGCAAAAGAAGGUUUUGCAGGAGAACCAGGGGUGACUGCUAGAAAGGUCUACAUCUUGCUUUUCUUUCACUGUUUUAUCUGUUUCUUGUUUUGUCUAACCCUUUCUUCUUUCUUCUGAACACACAACUGUACUGCUAUGAUGCUUCCUCUGCAGAUCAGGAGAUGGUUUUGCAGCAACUUCUCGAACGAUUCCUGAUAAAGGACCUGAUCUGCUAAUCCCGUUGGAGGAAACACCUUGAUCAAACUCAGCAGAAAGAACACUAAGUCGAGCAAAGGGAACACUGAAGGCUCCUCUGCCAAUGUGAGCAAUGAGAAAGGAUCACCCGAAGCACAUAAUUGGAAGAAUGAAGUUGAACCUAAAAAAAGAAACAGCAGACAAACGACGGGCGGAAGGCGUGGGGAUGGGAGCUGAGAAGGAGAAGAAAUAGUAGGUUAAGAUACUUGCAUUCCGAUGAGCAGGAUUGCAGUCUGGUGGAUGCGUCUGAGGUUUGGAGUGACGAAACUUAGUUGCAAGCUUUGUUCGCCCAAAACAUUUCUGAACUCAAGACAAUCCGUUAGUCGAUUACAGACAUUGAGGCAGUUCUGAGCAAAUUGACAUUGCUGAUGGGGUGCUCGCUGGCAGGAGAAAUCUCCUCCCGCUGCUUCUUCUUCUUCUCAAGAGGUUGGGCAGCGAUGGAAGCGGUCUGAUAUCCUUGUUUGUACUUGUACACUAACCUAACAAAAAAAAUUGAUUGAACCAUGUUGUACCAACAGUCAUCAUCAUCAGCCAUUUUAGCAUGGCAAGUGUCUGUCCCGACUGAGGUGAGGAACCUCAUUCGGCAAGUAGUAUGGGGGGUGCUACUAUGGAACGGCAUUUGGCUAUCCACCAGCUAUUGAUGGAUGGAUGGAUGGAUGGGUUCUUAUAUUGAAAGUCCGAUUAGUUUGGUGUAUAGUUUGAUCAAUCUUUUUUUGUAGGGGAUUUCAUGUGGAUGUUUUUGCCCACUGGUGUAUAUGCGUGUUAUGUUUCGGGUGGAACUUUGGCAUAUCGGUGAGUCUGCACACCGGAGUCGAUUUGUAAGCACGCGAAAAAUUGUCCUAUUUUGCAACGUUUUAAUUGCU